This 2345-nucleotide long non-coding RNA is filed under the name Nicotiana tabacum (common tobacco). RNAcentral's name for it is "long non-coding RNA (NTAB_LNC010873)". The record is from RNAcentral. Lineage: Eukaryota; Viridiplantae; Streptophyta; Magnoliopsida; Solanales; Solanaceae.
CCGCCCCAAUUUCGUUUAAUCUCAGCCGUUCAAACACCUAGAUCUAACGACCACAAUUCCUCCCCACCAUAAUAUAAAAACCAAAUAUUUAUCUAACCCUAAACCUAAACACCCCUAACCAAACAGCGCCACCCCAACUCCCACACCUUCUGCCCGUCCAAAACUCGCCGGAACACUCACUGAUUCCGGCGAGUUAACUCAUGGUCCCCCUUUCCCUUCUCUCUUUCUUCCACGUGGCCUGACAAAUAACCGAUUUUGGUUCGAAUCCGUGUUUUGUUUUGCUCUCUCAAAUGUGAAUCUAUUUCAACGGUAGAUGAUGGAUGAAGGGUAGGAUAUGAUUAAUGAAAAUUGAUCACACCCCUACAUUUGCCCAGAUUUUUACUAAAAAGAAGGAGAUUUUCGGAAUUUUGGUGGGAUUUUCGAAAUUUUUGAGCUAUAUAUUUGGGUCUUGGACAGAAGUUUUGGGGGGUUCACGGAAACAUUUGGAGAGAAGUUGAGGAAAAACUAGGGUUUAAUUUUGAACUUGAGAGACCUUCUUUUGGUUUUUGCUAUUUCUUUUACUUCAAAAGUCAACAAAAAUAUAGAUCAGAAAAUAUGGUUUGAGCUUAGUUAUUUGUUCAAGUUUGGUUUUACAUUUUAAAAAUUCAGAAAAAGAGGUACUGAAAACACUUCUGUUUCCUAGCUUUUCGAUUUUCAGAUUUAUAUUGCAAAAUGGAGUUCGUUUGAGUGAAGUUCGUCGCUAUUGUUGCCCAUUGUUCGAGUUUUGACUGUGACUGCCAUUUCAUCUUUGUUCGUGUAACGACUGUAUUUUAUUUGUUAAUCGAAAGCAAUUUCAGGUUCAUCUUUCUCCCUUUUCUACUUAUUUUCUAUUGAUUUUCGGCAUCAUGAGGGUCGGGGUUUGAUCGGCUUAUAUAUUGUUUGAUCCGUCACUAUUUUUGGAGAUUAACAAAUGAAACUCAGAUUGUUUUGUGACUGUUAAUGAGAGUGUGUGAUCGUUAUAUCAUUGCUUGCCAUUUUCUUGAAUAUUUCUGCUUGGUUUGGCUGAGUUUACAUGUUAAAAUGAGUUUCUGAAACUAGUCUCUGAUGUUCUCUGUCUGUUAUUGGCUUGGUUAGUUUCGCUUAGUUUCUAAAAAAUUAUACGAAUCCUUGAAUCUUAAUCGAGUCAAUCCCAGUAGUUUGUGCUAGCUUAGUUCAUCAUUCUAUCAUGACUUCUCUGAUGUCGCAAUCUGUAUAACCUCUUGCCCUAUUCUUCCUCAAUGAUUGACUGAUAAUUGCAUAUGGUAACCUUCUUUUCUUGACUUAAAUCUGUCGGCAUCCUUAGUCGACGUUUUGAUUAGUUUGGUUCUGUCUUCUGUUUCUCGGGUUGGCCUCCAAAUUGUGAAUGUACAGAACAUCCAGUGUUUUAAUUCUUGUGUCAAAAGGCUCGUAGAAGAUUGGUAUUGGCAUUUCAGUUACAUGUAGAAUGUUAGUCGGUUAGAUAGGAAUUCUAUGUGUUUGAAUGACUAAUUUUCAAAUCCAAAAAUCAGUUAGCGAUUCUUGUUUGAGUUCGAAGAUAAAAUGAAAGUUUGAUGAAGUGUAACCAUGGGUUCGUGACCUAACUCGAGUUGAUUUUGCCUCUAGCAUGGUAAUCUUCACGGUUGCUAGUUUGAUAGUUACUUCAAAAUGUCAGUUUGUCAUUCAAGUUCCUAUGUCAGUCAAGUUUGAUCGCAUUCUCAGUAGUCUCGUUGUUGAACUUGUUAUUAGUUAUAACUGAUAGAAUUGAAACUAAUAGCUCAAGCGUGUCCAGGCGUUAGUGAAUUUGAGUGUUCUAUUGGAUAUCCCCAUUCCACUGUCAUAAAGAAUGAGAUACAUGGUUGUUUCCUUCUAAAGUCUAUGUCUUUAAACAUCAACUUUGCAAUUUAAGUCCAAAUCACGUCAUAUGACAUCCGUUUUUCACCAAAUUCCACAGAAAUAUCUUAAAUCAUAUUCAAGACCUGUACCGGGUGCCGGAACCAAAAUACGGGCCCGAUACCAUCAUGUUCUAAUCAAAUUUCAUUUCAAAUUUCUUUAAAUAAUUUCAGAAAAUAAUUUUCUUUGAAAAUUCAUUUCUCGGGCUUGGGACCUCAGAAUUCGAUUCCGGACAAAGCCCAAGUCCCAUAUUUUCCUACGGACUCUCCGAGACUGUCAAAUUACGGGUCUGGGUCUGUUUACCCAAAAUAUUGACCGAAGUCAAAUUAGCUCAUUCUAUAAUCAAAACUAAUCGUUUUUCACAGAUUAUCAUAUUUAAGCUUUCCGACUAUGUGUCAGACUGCGCACGCAAAUCGAGGUGACUCUAAAUGAAGUUUUCAAGGCCUCAGAACACGGAG